This is a non-coding RNA of Flavobacterium frigoris, 120 nucleotides long. NCBI's taxonomy places the organism in Bacteria, Pseudomonadati, Bacteroidota, Flavobacteriia, Flavobacteriales, Flavobacteriaceae. The record is from Rfam.
UGUCUGUACCGAGGAACACAAAGCGCAUAAGAGGCUAGCUAAAUUGGGUAAGCAUGCACUGCAAUGCAAAGCCUUAAGACAACUGGUUUAUUUACUAGAUGCGUCGGGGAUAGACGGAAA